This 250-nucleotide ribosomal RNA is filed under the name uncultured bacterium. Its description in RNAcentral is "partial 16S ribosomal RNA". It matches the Rfam family "Bacterial small subunit ribosomal RNA", at positions 524 to 773 of the family's 1533-position model. The record is from RNAcentral.
UACAGAGGUCCCGAGCGUUGUUCGGAUUCACUGGGCGUAAAGGGUGCGUAGGUGGUGGGGUAAGUCUCGUGUGAAAGCUCGCAGCUUAACUGCGAAAAGUCAUGGGAUACUAUUCCGCUAGAGGCUUGGAGGGGGGACUGGAAUACUUGGUGUAGCAGUGAAAUGCGUAGAUAUCAAGUGGAACACCAGUGGCGAAGGCGAGUCCCUGGACAAGACCUGACACUGAGGCACGAAAGCCAGGGGAGCAAAC